AUUGAACGCUGGCGGCAGGCUUAACACAUGCAAGUCGAGCGGAAACGAUGGUAGCUUGCUACCAGGCGUCGAGCGGCGGACGGGUGAGUAAUACUUAGGAAUCUACCUAGUAGUGGGGGAUAGCUCGGGGAAACUCGAAUUAAUACCGCAUACGACCUACGGGAGAAAGGGGGCAGUUUACUGCUCUCGCUAUUAGAUGAGCCUAAGUCGGAUUAGCUAGAUGGUGGGGUAAAGGCCUACCAUGGCGACGAUCUGUAGCUGGUCUGAGAGGAUGAUCAGCCACACCGGGACUGAGACACGGCCCGGACUCCUACGGGAGGCAGCAGUGGGGAAUAUUGGACAAUGGGGGAAACCCUGAUCCAGCCAUGCCGCGUGUGUGAAGAAGGCCUUUUGGUUGUAAAGCACUUUAAGCAGUGAAGAAGACUCCGUGGUUAAUACCCACGGACGAUGACAUUAGCUGCAGAAUAAGCACCGGCUAACUCUGUGCCAGCAGCCGCGGUAAUACAGAGGGUGCAAGCGUUAAUCGGAAUUACUGGGCGUAAAGGGAGCGUAGGUGGCUCUAUAAGUCAGAUGUGAAAUCCCCGGGCUUAACCUGGGAACUGCAUCUGAAACUGUAGAGCUAGAGUAUGUGAGAGGAAGGUAGAAUUCCAGGUGUAGCGGUGAAAUGCGUAGAGAUCUGGAGGAAUACCGAUGGCGAAGGCAGCCUUCUGGCAUAAUACUGACACUGAGGCUCGAAAGCGUGGGUAGCAAACAGGAUUAGAUACCCUGGUAGUCCACGCUGUAAACGAUGUCUACUAGUCGUUGGGUCCCUUGAGGACUUAGUGACGCAGCUAACGCAAUAAGUAGACCGCCUGGGGAGUACGGCCGCAAGGUUAAAACUCAAAUGAAUUGACGGGGGCCCGCACAAGCGGUGGAGCAUGUGGUUUAAUUCGAUGCAACGCGAGGAACCUUACCUGGUCUUGACAUAUCUAGAAUCCUGCAGAGAUGCGGGAGUGCCUUCGGGAAUUAGAAUACAGGUGCUGCAUGGCUGUCGUCAGCUCGUGUCGUGAGAUGUUGGGUUAAGUCCCGCAACGAGCGCAACCCUUGUCCUUAGUUACCAGCGGGUUAAGCCGGGAACUCUAAGGAUACUGCCAGUGACAAACUGGAGGAAGGCGGGGACGACGUCAAGUCAUCAUGGCCCUUACGACCAGGGCUACACACGUGCUACAAUGGUAGGUACAGAGGGCAGCUACACAGCGAUGUGAUGCGAAUCUCAAAAAGCCUAUCGUAGUCCAGAUUGGAGUCUGCAACUCGACUCCAUGAAGUAGGAAUCGCUAGUAAUCGCGGAUCAGAAUGCCGCGGUGAAUACGUUCCCGGGCCU
This 1360-nucleotide ribosomal RNA is filed under the name uncultured bacterium. RNAcentral's name for it is "bacterial SSU rRNA". It matches the Rfam family "Bacterial small subunit ribosomal RNA", at positions 28 to 1381 of the family's 1533-position model. The record is from RNAcentral.